Pelobates cultripes (western spadefoot toad) is the source of this 302-nucleotide non-coding RNA. NCBI's taxonomy places the organism in Eukaryota, Metazoa, Chordata, Amphibia, Anura, Pelobatidae. The record is from the annotation of a GenBank genome assembly.
UGUGUAUAAUGAAUUUAGUGUGUUUGUAGUGAGUGCAGUGUGUACAAUGAAUGCAGUGUAUGUAGUGUGUUUGUAGUGAAUGCAGUGUGUAUAGUGAAUGUAGUGUGUAGUGAGUGCAGAAUGUGUAUAAUGAAUGCAGAGUGUGUAUAGUGAAUGCAGAGGGUGUAUAGUGAAUGUAGUGUGUUUGUAGUGAGUGUAUAGUGAAUGUAGAGUGUUUGUAGUGAGUGCAGUGUGUACAAUGAAUGCAGUGUAUGUAGUGUGUUUGUAGUGAAUGCAGAGUGUGUAUAGUGAAUGUAGUGUGU